RNAcentral lists this ribosomal RNA (486 nucleotides) under uncultured bacterium. Its description in RNAcentral is "partial 16S ribosomal RNA". It matches the Rfam family "Bacterial small subunit ribosomal RNA", at positions 30 to 507 of the family's 1533-position model. The record is from RNAcentral.
AUUGAACGCUGGCGGCAUGCCUUACACAUGCAAGUCGAACGGCAGCACGGGUGCUUGCACCUGGUGGCGAGUGGCGAACGGGUGAGUAAUACAUCGGAACAUGUCCUGUAGUGGGGGAUAGCCCGGCGAAAGCCGGAUUAAUACCGCAUACGAUCUACGGAUGAAAGCGGGGGACCUUCGGGCCUCGCGCUAUAGGGUUGGCCGAUGGCUGAUUAGCUAGUUGGUGGGGUAAAGGCCUACCAAGGCGACAAUCAGUAGCUGGUCUGAGAGGACGACCAGCCACACUGGGACUGAGACACGGCCCAGACUCCUACGGGAGGCAGCAGUGGGGAAUUUUGGACAAUGGGCGAAAGCCUGAUCCAGCAAUGCCGCGUGUGUGAAGAAGGCCUUCGGGUUGUAAAGCACUUUUGUCCGGAAAGAAAUCCUUGGCCCUAAUACGGUCGGGGGAUGACGGUACCGGAAGAAUAAGCACCGGCUAACUACGUG